This is a non-coding RNA of Bacillus infantis NRRL B-14911, 107 nucleotides long. The record is from Rfam. NCBI's taxonomy places the organism in Bacteria, Bacillati, Bacillota, Bacilli, Caryophanales, Bacillaceae.
AGCAGAAAAAGGCAAACCUGUUGAAAGAUAGGGACGCAAAGUCACAGGUCUACCGCGCCUAUUGAGAGUAAAGUCGGAUGAGGCGCCAGGACGGCUGGAUUGCCUGG